UAUCAGUCACAGUGAAUGGCCAAGAGGAGACACACUACCGCCACCUAUCGCCAUUUUAAGAACUUCUUUAUAGAAUUAGUACAAUCACAACAGCUCCCAUCAGUGUUUGUGAACCUGGGUACAGUUAUAACUCUCGUGGUGUGACCAAACAAUAUGUGUACAGGAUGUUCAGUGAAUCUUUUCCAAUUAUUUGAGAUUGUCUCUGAUGAAAAGAAAGUUAGAGACUAUUUGUUUGACCACCAUCUUCUGACAAAGACUGUUAACUGUACAAGCUGUGGUUCUGUAAUUGAACUGAAUAGUAAAUAUCAAUUUCGAUGCAACAAAGUAGUGCGGCUAAAACACGGAAAGGCCUAUAGGAAGAGGGUGUGCAAAUUCAGAGUUACUGGACUUAAAGACACAUUUUUUGAAAGAUCUAAAAUAUCACUGAAAGACAUUCUUUAUUUGAUGUACUUAUUUAUAGAUAACAGAACAACUAUUAAAACGGCAAGUUUCGAAACUAAACUCAGUCCAGCAACCAUCAUAGAUUGGUAUAGUUUCAUGCGAGAUAUUAUUAUCAAUUACUGUGAAACAAAAUCAAGCAAACUCGGAGGUCCAGGAACAGUUGUAGAAGUAGAUGAAGCUGAAUUUGGCCAAAGAAAGUGCGACAAGGCAGAGGUUAGAGGAAACUGGGUGUUGGGGGGAAUUGAACGUGGAGGCAAGAAGAUUUUUUUGGUAACUGUUGGUGACAGAAGUGAAGAAACAUUGAUUGAAGUUAUUAAAGACUGGAUUUUAGAAGGAACAACAAUAGUAUCAGAUAGGCAGAGUUCCUUCAGGAACAUUUCUUUAGAAGGCUACUUUCAUCAGACUGGUGACAACCCCCAAAACUCAAAAGACUCAGAGUCUUCCACCAACACCAAUAACAUCAAACGUCUGUGGCGAGACGUCCGCAACGAGAUUCCAAAAUUUGGAGUAAGGGAAGAGCAUUUUGAGAGUUAUCUUGCCAAAGUUUUCUUCCGCAAAAUAUUUCCCGAUCAAGGUGAACGAUUCCAUCACUUUAUGCUAGCAACAGCUGCUCUCUACCCACCAUACAAAUAAGAGAAUGGAGCGAGAGUAUGGAUGUGAAGUGGCAAUGGGAAAACCAAAGGUGGCCUUCAGAGAGACACUUGCUGGUCCAGUAGAGUUUGAUUUUCUCCAUAAGAAGCAAUCUGGUGGAUCUGGUCAAUAUGGUCGUGUAACUGGAAUUGUUGAGCCACUCUCACAUGAAGAAAACACAAAAAAUAUCUUCAAAGAUGAAACAAUGGGAACCAACAUUCCAAAACAGUUCAUUCCUGCUGCUGAAAAGGGAUUCAAAGCAAUCUGUGAUAAAGGUUCUCCUGAAUGACAUAUUUGGGUAUGCCACAGAACUGCAAUCCUCAACACAGGAAAAAGGCAAAUUUGCAAUGGAAUAUUCUUAUGGGCCAGCAAAAGAAGAAGUAUUGUAAUGGAAGAUCUUAUCAGUGAAUUUAUAUGUCCCAAAGAAAAUGCAAAGCCUUCAAAAAAAAGAGGCAGAAGAUAAAAUAUGAUAAAUAUUUAAAUGUCUUUGCUAAUUUUUAAGUAUGAAAGAGGUAUCAUCAACAUUGAUAUUUUAAGGCCAUUUUUCACACUUGCAUGGGUUAGCAAUGAUUACUUAAUGGGAGCUCUUCGUGCUGUAUUUUCUCAUGUAGCCUCUCUCCUCAGGAUUUCAAAUUUAAUAUAAUUUCUUACAGCAUCUUCCCAUGUCAUUAUUGGGCUGCCUCUGUCCUUAUUCCCCUCCACAUUUAGACUCACACAUCAUUUGGCCCAAUUUGUACCUCCAUUCUCUCCACAAACCCAAACCAUCUCAGCUUACCUCUAAGCAAAUCUUCACCAAUACUUUCAAUACCCAACCAUCUUCUUAGCUCUGACUAGAGUUGCCUAAAGGCUGAGCAGAUUAUGUGGAACCUUUGAAAUUUACUUGCUGGUAUUUUGUUUUUUUCCUUUGUCCUGACAAAUUUGAGAAGAAAUUUGUUUGUCCAGUUUUUUAAGGACAAAGCCAAAUAAACACCUUGAACCCUUCAAAUUUAGGCCCGCUUCAUGCAAGCAUUUUUGUCCCGCAUGGGAGAAGGCAUUUGUUCAUAUGGGCAUAUUUUUCAUGUUUAAUUUCACCUGCAUGUGACAAAAAUAAUCACAGGCACUUUCAGCUUAUCCUUGCCUUUAUUUUUACAGGACUGCAACAAUCUCGGUACAGAGUGCCUGUUUUGCCAUAUUCUUGGACUUUAAUUUUUACAGGUUGAUAUCUCUCCACUCUUUCACAACAUUUUCAAUUGGGUUAAUUUUCCAGUGAAGGUUUGAUUUUUUCUUUAACAAUAAUUUUCUUGUUCAUUUUAUUACAGUAUUUAUACAAUUAUAACUAAAUAAAUAUGUAAACUGCA
RNA transcript from Homarus americanus (American lobster), 2408 nucleotides. It is a transcript of the gene named elongation factor G, mitochondrial-like, with no coding region annotated. The transcript has 4 exons. The record is from RefSeq and is a predicted model, not a curated record. NCBI's taxonomy places the organism in Eukaryota, Metazoa, Arthropoda, Malacostraca, Decapoda, Nephropidae.